This 253-nucleotide ribosomal RNA is filed under the name uncultured bacterium. RNAcentral's name for it is "partial 16S ribosomal RNA". It matches the Rfam family "Bacterial small subunit ribosomal RNA", at positions 524 to 776 of the family's 1533-position model. The record is from RNAcentral.
CACGUAGGGUGCGAGCGUUGUCCGGAAUUAUUGGGCGUAAAGAGCUUGUAGGCGGUUUGUCGCGUCUGCUGUGAAAUCCCGAGGCUCAACCUCGGGCCUGCAGUGGGUACGGGCAGACUGGAGUGCGGUAGGGGAGAAUGGAAUUCCUGGUGUAGCGGUGGAAUGCGCAGAUAUCAGGAGGAACACCGAUGGCGAAGGCAGUUCUCUGGGCCGUAACUGACGCUGAGGAGCGAAAGCGUGGGGAGCGAACAGG